Molecule: ribosomal RNA, 499 nt
Filed under: uncultured bacterium
Lineage: Bacteria
Description: partial 16S ribosomal RNA
Rfam family: Bacterial small subunit ribosomal RNA
Source: RNAcentral
GACGAACGCUGGCGGCGUGCCUAAUACAUGCAAGUCGAGCGGACCAAACAGGAGCUUGCUCUUGUUUGGUUAGCGGCGGACGGGUGAGUAACACGUGGGUAACCUGCCCGUAAGACCGGGAUAACUCCGGGAAACCGGAGCUAAUACCGGAUAACACCGAAGACCGCAUGGUCUUUGGUUGAAAGGCGGCUUCGGCUGCCACUUACGGAUGGGCCCGCGGCGCAUUAGCUAGUUGGUGAGGUAACGGCUCACCAAGGCGACGAUGCGUAGCCGGCCUGAGAGGGUGACCGGCCACACUGGGACUGAGACACGGCCCAGACUCCUACGGGAGGCAGCAGAAGGGAAUCUUCCGCAAUGGACGAAAGUCUGACGGAGCGACGCCGCGUGAGCGAAGAAGGUCUUCGGAUCGUAAAGCUCUGUUGUUAGGGAAGAAGAAGCGCCGUUCGAACAGGGCGGCGCGGUGACGGUACCUAACGAGAAAGCCCCGGCUAACUACGUG